This 687-nucleotide ribosomal RNA is filed under the name Escherichia sp. SO-Y1-39. Its description in RNAcentral is "bacterial SSU rRNA". It matches the Rfam family "Bacterial small subunit ribosomal RNA", at positions 41 to 720 of the family's 1533-position model. Lineage: Bacteria; Pseudomonadati; Pseudomonadota; Gammaproteobacteria; Enterobacterales; Enterobacteriaceae. The record is from RNAcentral.
GGCAGGACUAACACGUGCGAGUCGAACGGUAACAGGAAGCAGCUUGCUGCUUUGCUGACGAGUGGCGGACGGGUGAGUAAUGUCUGGGAAACUGCCUGAUGGAGGGGGAUAACUACUGGAAACGGUAGCUAAUACCGCAUAACGUCGCAAGACCAAAGAGGGGGACCUUCGGGCCUCUUGCCAUCGGAUGUGCCCAGAUGGGAUUAGCUAGUAGGUGGGGUAACGGCUCACCUAGGCGACGAUCCCUAGCUGGUCUGAGAGGAUGACCAGCCACACUGGAACUGAGACACGGUCCAGACUCCUACGGGAGGCAGCAGUGGGGAAUAUUGCACAAUGGGCGCAAGCCUGAUGCAGCCAUGCCGCGUGUAUGAAGAAGGCCUUCGGGUUGUAAAGUACUUUCAGCGGGGAGGAAGGGAGUAAAGUUAAUACCUUUGCUCAUUGACGUUACCCGCAGAAGAAGCACCGGCUAACUCCGUGCCAGCAGCCGCGGUAAUACGGAGGGUGCAAGCGUUAAUCGGAAUUACUGGGCGUAAAGCGCACGCAGGCGGUUUGUUAAGUCAGAUGUGAAAUCCCCGGGCUCAACCUGGGAACUGCAUCUGAUACUGGCAAGCUUGAGUCUCGUAGAGGGGGUAGAAUUCCAGGUGUAGCGUGAAAUGCGUAGAGAUCUGGAGGAAUACCGUGGCGAAG